GAUAGUAUGGCUGAAGUUUAAGCGAUAAAUUGUAAAUUUAUUUAUAAAAAUAAUUUUUUUGCUAUUA
This 67-nucleotide transfer RNA is filed under the name Trachelus tabidus. Its description in RNAcentral is "tRNA-Tyr". It matches the Rfam family "tRNA". From Rfam's summary of the family: Transfer RNA (tRNA) molecules are approximately 80 nucleotides in length. Their secondary structure includes four short double-helical elements and three loops (D, anti-codon, and T loops). The record is from RNAcentral. Lineage: Eukaryota; Metazoa; Arthropoda; Insecta; Hymenoptera; Cephidae.